RNAcentral lists this ribosomal RNA (460 nucleotides) under uncultured prokaryote. RNAcentral's name for it is "bacterial SSU rRNA". It matches the Rfam family "Bacterial small subunit ribosomal RNA", at positions 373 to 810 of the family's 1533-position model. The record is from RNAcentral.
GGGUCCCACCGCGCCAUCUAUAACCUGACGCCCUACUGCCUGUCGAGUGAAGAAGGUACGCGGAUCGUAAAGCUCUGUCGAGUGGGAAGAAAUGUAUCAUGGCUAAUAUCCAUGAUACUUGACGGUACCGCUAAAGGAAGCACCGGCUAACUCCGUGCCAGCAGCCGCGGUAAUACGGGGGGUGCAAGCGUUGUUCGGAAUUAUUGGGCGUAAAGAGCGUGUAGGCGGCUGAAUAAGUCAGAUGUGAAAUCCCUGGGCUUAACCCAGGAAGUGCAUUUGAAACUAUUCAGCUUGAGUAGGGGAGAGGAAAGUGGAAUUCCUGGUGUAGAGGUGAAAUNCGUAGAUAUCAGGAGGAACACCGGUGGCGAAGGCGACUUUCUGGCCCUAUACUGACGCUGAGACGCGAGAGCGUGGGUAGCAAACAGGAUUAGAUACCCUGGUAGUCCACGCUGUAAACGAU